CUUCUCUCCCCCCUGGGAAGGCUCCUGGGGAGUUAAUGAUUGGUAAAACCUGAAGAAAUCUGUUGGAACCAGUCCAUUUCUGUUUUAGAGGGGAAUACGGCUCAGUGUCGAAGAACAAAGUUCACAGGUGUGUAAGAGAAGGAGGAAAAAAGGAUUGGGGUUGAGAGUUGGAAGCUAAUCUCUGAAGUCGUGGUAAGGAGUCUUUCAAAGCAGCAGCCAGUGGAAAGAGCACACAUCUGGAAAUGGGGUGAACUUGAUUCUAGGCCCAGCUCUGCCAAAGACGUGCUGUGGAAUCUCCAGCAAGCUGCUUCAACUCUCUGUGCCUCAUCUUCCUCAUCUGUAAAAUGGGGAUGAUAAUAAUAACUGCUUCCCCCAAACUCACAGGCAUGGGGUAUAAGGCCAAAAUGCGACAAAGAUUGUGAAAGUGCUCUGAAAAAGUAAAAAACUCUUCUACAAA
Molecule: long non-coding RNA, 457 nt
Organism: Ornithorhynchus anatinus (platypus)
Lineage: Eukaryota; Metazoa; Chordata; Mammalia; Monotremata; Ornithorhynchidae
Exons: 2
Source: RefSeq, a predicted model, not a curated record